RNAcentral lists this long non-coding RNA (1765 nucleotides) under Pelobates cultripes (western spadefoot toad). Lineage: Eukaryota; Metazoa; Chordata; Amphibia; Anura; Pelobatidae. The record is from RNAcentral.
UAACUCCAAAAGUAUACAUCACAUAAAACUUACAUUUUCAUAAUCAGCAUACUCCAAAUACAAACAUACUCAAAAAUCAGACAAUUCCUUCCAUUGGUUUAAAAGUUAGGUUGAAGUCCUUUAUGACCAACUGAAGCAUGGUUUCCAGCCAAAACCAGUUCCACGGAGUCCUCUAUAACUGGGUGUGGUAUGCCAACUAUCUCCAGGUACAGAAAAUAUCUCUAUUCACAACAACAGCAAAACUACACAAAAAUACACAAUUCCUAUCAUACUGAACAGAACCCCCACAUUCAACCUAUCCCCAGAUGGCUUGGAUCUGAGCGCUCAAUAUAUUCAAACAGCGCUCAGAUCCCACAAACACAGUCAAAUCGCCAUGGGGUUUAAGUAGAGCAUGGGCUGAUAAGAGGGGCCAUAGUCACAGGGCAGGAGGCUGGCAAUCAGUCUUCUCCCAGUGGCCCAGUAGCGAGGCUGGUUCCGCCACAAAUGAGGUUUGCAUUGGUUGCAUUGUGUAUGUAAGAGUAUCAUUCUAGUGAUUUCUAUGAGAAAUUAAUUAGCUGUUCUCAGAUGCUUAGUUAUGCAUGUCCACCUGCUAGCUAACCCAAGCUCCACCCAUGAAAACGAUAGGAGUGCCAGGAUUAACAACUAACAAGGUAGACAGGUAGAAUGCUCUAUAUUCCGCAGGUCAAGGGAACAAUAACUAAGACUUAGGAUAGUCAUAAAAUAGAUAUAGAGCCACACAGACCAUUGUGUUUGCUGAUUGUGAUAGGAGCUGAUUAUAUUUUCUGAUAAUUGAUUAAUUAUAGAUAGCAUUCUCUGGCUCAGUGUGCGUGAGACGUGACAUUAAUCGGUCCAUACAGUUUGCCCGCUGAGCUGUUUCCUUGGAACAAGUAGUUUACCGAUUGACCUACAGAUUUCACAGUGGCUGAGAAAAGAUUAGUCAAGUGGUAACCAAGAUGCUGUGAAUUUAGGAGGAGGUGAAGCUAUAUGUGUAAUAUAAUCCACACCAUUCAACACUGAGUGCAUUGUAUGGUGAUGAAUCAUGUCGGUUUAUAUAACAGCUCACUGUAUAUGCAGGUUCACUAUAUAUAAUGUAUACUAAGUACCAAACUAGAGGUGAUUGUGUUUUUUCCAGUCAAGUCAGAAUUGUGGCAAUUCGCAUAGAUUGUUGUCUUUGCUGUUACUUCCUGUCCACAUCCUGCGUGACAAAUAUACAAUAUACAAAAAAGACCUGUUAUCUUCAUACAGACAAUCAAGCAGAGGUAAGACGGUCUGAUUGUAUCUCGUUAGAUAUUACUAUAAUAUUUCAGUGGAGUAUUAAACAUAAAACGUUUUGUAACUGAAAGAUUGGCAAUGUGAUGUAUAAUGUAUCCUCUGACAUUAGUGCAGCCUUGGUUAGAAUACACAAUGCUCUGCCUGUCUGCUAUGGGGACUGUAGUUAAUGGAAAGCUGGAGGGCCACGAUUGGACAGCUUUGCUCUGUGGAAUCGCUGGGUAGAGGUAGAAAAUUAUGUAAAGAUAAAAAGCAUAUUUAUUGGACAUUGGAGGCUAGAAUUAUCUCUCAGUUUCAAUGAGUACUUUGUGUCUUAAGAGUACUUGGUGCAGAUUAUCUUACAAUGUCUGAUUAUUGUCAUUAACUCUGAUGUCUGUGACACAUAUUAUGCAGAGUCAUAUAUAAGAAGAAAAACUACCACAACAAGAGGACAUAGUCUUAAAUUAGAGGGACAAAGGUUUAAAAAUAAUAUCAGGAAGUAUUACUUUACUGAGAG